AUUGAACGCUGGCGGCAUGCCUUACACAUGCAAGUCGAACGGUAACGGGCCUUCGGGUGCCGACGAGUGGCGAGCGGGUGAGUAAUACAUCGGAACGUGCCCGAUCGUGGGGGAUAACGAGGCGAAAGCUUUGCUAAUACCGCAUACGAUCUACGGAUGAAAGCAGGGGACCGCAAGGCCUUGCGCGGACGGAGCGGCCGAUGGCAGAUUAGGUAGUUGGUGGGAUAAAAGCUUACCAAGCCGACGAUCUGUAGCUGGUCUGAGAGGAUGAUCAGCCACACUGGGACUGAGACACGGCCCAGACUCCUACGGGAGGCAGCAGUGGGGAAUUUUGGACAAUGGGCGCAAGCCUGAUCCAGCCAUGCCGCGUGCAGGAUGAAGGCCUUCGGGUUGUAAACUGCUUUUGUACGGAACGAAAAGCCUUCUUUUAAUACAGGAGGGUCAUGACGGUACCGUAAGAAUAAGCACCGGCUAACUACGU
This 481-nucleotide ribosomal RNA is filed under the name uncultured bacterium. RNAcentral's name for it is "partial 16S ribosomal RNA". It matches the Rfam family "Bacterial small subunit ribosomal RNA", at positions 30 to 506 of the family's 1533-position model. The record is from RNAcentral.